UAGAGUUUGAUCCUGGCUCAGGAUGAACGCUAGCGACAGGCUUAACACAUGCACGUCGAGGGGCAGCGGGGAGGUAGCAAUACUUCCGCCGGCGACCGGCGCACGGGUGAGUAACACGUAUGGAACCUGCCCGUAGCAGGGGGAUAAACGGAAGAAAUUCCGUCUAAUACCGCGUAAUAACUCCGAGAGGCAUCUCAUGGAGUUUAAAGGGUAACACCGGCUACGGAUGGCCAUGCGGCGCAUUAGCUAGUUGGCGGGGUAACGGCCCACCAAGGCGACGAUGCGUAGGGGUUCUGAGAGGAAGGUCCCCCACACUGGUACUGAGACACGGACCAGACUCCUACGGGAGGCAGCAGUGAGGAAUAUUGGUCAAUGGGCGCGAGCCUGAACCAGCCAAGUCGCGUGAGGGAAGACGGUCCUAUGGAUUGUAAACCUCUUUUGUCGGGGAGCAAAAGACGCCACGUGUGGCGUUCCGAGAGUACCCGAAGAAAAAGCAUCGGCUAACUCCGUGCCAGCAGCCGCGGUAAUACGGAGGAUGCGAGCGUUAUCCGGAUUUAUUGGGUUUAAAGGGUGCGCAGGCGGAAGAUCAAGUCAGCGGUAAAAUUGAGAGGCUCAACCUCUUCGAGCCGUUGAAACUGGUUUUCUUGAGUGAGCGAGAAGUAUGCGGAAUGCGUGGUGUAGCGGUGAAAUGCAUAGAUAUCACGCAGAACUCCGAUUGCGAAGGCAGCAUACCGGCGCUCAACUGACGCUCAUGCACGAAAGUGUGGGUAUCGAACAGGAUUAGAUACCCUGGUAGUCCACACAGUAAACGAUGAAUACUAAUUGUUCGGGGAGAAUGAUCCCUGAGUGAUACAGCGAAAGCGUUAAGUAUUCCACCUGGGGAGUACGCCGGCAACGGUGAAACUCAAAGGAAUUGACGGGGGCCCGCACAAGCGGAGGAACAUGUGGUUUAAUUCGAUGAUACGCGAGGAACCUUACCCGGGCUCAAACGACACAGGAAUACUUUUGAAAGGAGGUAGCUCUACGGAGUCUGUGUCGAGGUGCUGCAUGGUUGUCGUCAGCUCGUGCCGUGAGGUGUCGGCUUAAGUGCCAUAACGAGCGCAACCCCCAUCGCCAGUUACCAGCAAGUCAAGUUGGGGACUCUGGCGAGACUGCCGGCGCAAGCUGUGAGGAAGGCGGGGAUGACGUCAAAUCAGCACGGCCCUUACGUCCGGGGCGACACACGUGUUACAAUGGCAGGUACAGAGAGAAGCAAUGCGGCGACGCAAAGCGGAACUUGAAAGCCUGUCUCAGUUCGGAUUGGAGUCUGCAACUCGACUCCAUGAAGCUGGAUUCGCUAGUAAUCGCGCAUCAGCCAUGGCGCGGUGAAUACGUUCCCGGGCCUUGUACACACCGCCCGUCAAGCCAUGGAAGCCGGGAGUGCCUGAAGUGUGCAACCGCAAGGAGCGCCCUAAGGUAAAACUGGUGACUGGGGCUAAGUCGUAAUCAAGGUAACCGUA
Molecule: ribosomal RNA, 1499 nt
Filed under: uncultured bacterium
Lineage: Bacteria
Description: 16S ribosomal RNA
Rfam family: Bacterial small subunit ribosomal RNA
Source: RNAcentral